GAUGAAGAACGUAGCGAAAUGCGAUAUGUAGUGUGAAUUGCAGAAUUCAGUGAAUCAUCGAAUCUUUGAACGCACAUUGCGCUCUCUGGUAUUCCGGGGAGCAUGCUCGUUUCAGAAUCAUUAACAUUCUCAAAGGCAACGGUCUGAACCCUCGGGCGAAGCCGUUACCCUUUCGGAUGUGAGCCGCUUUGCUGCAAGGCAAUGGCUUGAAAAUGAUUGUGUUUGCAACCGGCCUUCUUGGUUCGGUUCUCUCAAGUGCAACAGAUGUUAGCUCAUUCGUUACCUCUUGAUGAGAAUCGAUUCCAUUGUCCGGAUGAUCUUACACUCAACCAACAUACACUUUCAGUGAUCCUUGGAUCAUUGUUUGAUAACUUGGUCUGAAAUCGAGCAAGAAAACCCGCUGAACUUAAGCAUAUCAAUAAGCGGAGGA
RNAcentral lists this unclassified non-coding RNA (430 nucleotides) under soil metagenome. RNAcentral's name for it is "partial contains 5.8S ribosomal RNA, internal transcribed spacer 2, and large subunit ribosomal RNA". The stretch from base 1 to 120 matches the Rfam family "5.8S ribosomal RNA", at positions 35 to 154 of the family's 154-position model. The record is from RNAcentral.